This 460-nucleotide ribosomal RNA is filed under the name uncultured bacterium. Its description in RNAcentral is "partial 16S ribosomal RNA". It matches the Rfam family "Bacterial small subunit ribosomal RNA", at positions 338 to 795 of the family's 1533-position model. The record is from RNAcentral.
CCGACGGGUGGCAGCAGGGAGGAAUAUUGGGCAAUGGACGAGAGUCGGAACCAGCCAAGUAGCGUGAAGGAUGACUGCCCUAUGGGGUGUAAACUUCUGUUAUAAAGGAAUAAAACGAGGCACGUGUGCCUUUUUGCAUGUACUUUAUGAAUAAGGAUCGGCUAACGCCGUGCCAGCAGCCGCGGUAAUACGGAGGAUCCGAGCGUUAUCCGGAUUUAUUGGGUUUAAAGGGAGCGUAGAUGGGUUGUUAAGUCAGUUGUGAAAGUUUGCGGCUCAACCGUAAAAUUGCAAUUGAUACUGGCAGUCUUGAGUGCAGUUGAGGUAGGCGGAAUUCGUGGUGUAGCGGUGAAAUGCUUAGAUAUCACGAAGAACCCCGAUUGCGAAGGCAGCUUACUAAACUGUGACUGACAUUGAUGCUCGAAAGUGUGGGUAUCAAACAGGAUUAGAUACCCCAGUAGUC